UGAGCAAUCUGCCCUUCUCAUCGGAAUAAGCGUUGGAAACGACGUUUAAUGCCGAAUACGACCUCCUUUCGCAUGAUCGGAGGUGGAAAGCUCCGGCGGAGGAGGAUGAGCUCGCGGCCUAUCAGCUUGUUGGUGAGGUAAUAGCUCACCAAGGCGAUGACGGGUAGCCGGCCUGAGAGGGUGACCGGCCACACUGGGACUGAGACACGGCCCAGACUCCGUAGGAGG
Molecule: ribosomal RNA, 228 nt
Filed under: uncultured bacterium
Lineage: Bacteria
Description: partial 16S ribosomal RNA
Rfam family: Bacterial small subunit ribosomal RNA
Source: RNAcentral